UGAGGAAUAUUGGUCAAUGGGCGAGAGCCUGAACCAGCCAAGUAGCGUGCGGGAUGAAGGCCCUUGUGGUCGUAAACCGCUUUUAUCAGUGAAUAAAGUGCAUCACGUGUGGUGUCAUUGCAGGUAGCUGAAGAAAAAGGACCGGCUAAUUCCGUGCCAGCAGCCGCGGUAAUACGGAAGGUCCGGGCGUUAUCCGGAAUUAUUGGGUUUAAAGGGAGCGCAGGCGGGAGUGUAAGUCAGCUGUUAAAUAUCAGGGCCCAACUCUGUUAUGCAGUUGAAACUAUAUUUCUUGAGUACGCACAGGGAUGGCGGAAUUCAGGGUGUAGCGGUGAAAUGCUUAGAUAUCCUGAAGAACUCCGAUCGCGAAGGCAGCCAUCCGGAGCGUAACUGACGCUGAGGCUCGAAGGUGCGGGUAUCGAACAGGAUUAGAUACCCUGGUAGUCCGCACGGUAAACGAUGAAUACUCGCAGUUCGGUCAUUAUGAUUGAGUUGUCCAGCGAAAGCGUUAAGUAUUCCACCUGGGGAGUACGCCGGCAACGGUG
This 542-nucleotide ribosomal RNA is filed under the name uncultured bacterium. Its description in RNAcentral is "bacterial SSU rRNA". It matches the Rfam family "Bacterial small subunit ribosomal RNA", at positions 355 to 896 of the family's 1533-position model. The record is from RNAcentral.